This 449-nucleotide ribosomal RNA is filed under the name uncultured bacterium. RNAcentral's name for it is "partial 16S ribosomal RNA". It matches the Rfam family "Bacterial small subunit ribosomal RNA", at positions 29 to 523 of the family's 1533-position model. The record is from RNAcentral.
AACGAACGCUGGCGGCAUGCCUAACACAUGCAAGUCGAACGAGAUCUUCGGAUCUAGUGGCGCACGGGUGCGUAACGCGUGGGAAUCUGCCCUUUGGUUCGGAAUAACUUCGGGAAACUGAAGCUAAUACCGGAUGAUGACUUCGGUCCAAAGAUUUAUCGCCAAAGGAUGAGCCCGCGUAAGAUUAGCUAGUUGGUGGGGUAAAGGCCUACCAAGGCGACGAUCUUCAGCUGGUCUGAGAGGAUGAUCAGCCACACUGGGACUGAGACACGGCCCAGACUCCUACGGGAGGCAGCAGUGGGGAAUAUUGGACAAUGGGCGAAAGCCUGAUCCAGCAAUGCCGCGUGAGUGAUGAAGGCCUUAGGGUUGUAAAGCUCUUUUACCCGGGAUGAUAAUGACAGUACCGGGAGAAUAAGCUCCGGCUAACUCCGUGCCAGCCGCCGCAGUAA